This 214-nucleotide long non-coding RNA is filed under the name Phoenix dactylifera (date palm). RNAcentral's name for it is "long non-coding RNA (PDAC_LNC002300)". The record is from RNAcentral. Lineage: Eukaryota; Viridiplantae; Streptophyta; Magnoliopsida; Arecales; Arecaceae.
UGUCACAUGCAAAACAUAAUAUGCAUUAAGUCAUAACAUCAUGUAUUAAAACAUUAAGAGCAAGCAUGUCAAGGAUCAAAAUCAAUUCUUUUCAAAUAAACUCUCCCUAUUUAUAUAUAAUUCUACACUGAUUUUAUCCUUAAGGUGUGUUUUCAAGUGAUCGAAACUUCAUUUGGCUUUUCACAAGCUUCUUAUAUACUUUCGUUUAUCUUGU